Molecule: transfer RNA, 66 nt
Filed under: Photinus corruscus
Lineage: Eukaryota; Metazoa; Arthropoda; Insecta; Coleoptera; Lampyridae
Description: tRNA-Met
Source: RNAcentral
AAAAAGAUAAGCUAAAUAAAGCUUUUGGGUUCAUACCCCAAAUAUAAAGUUAAUCUUUUCUUUUUA